CCCGUAAUUCUAUGGCUAAUACAUGCGCACAUACCUCUUCCCUCGUGGAAGGGUAGUGUUUAUUAGAUACAGAACCAACCCACCUUCGGGUGGUCCUCAGGUGAUUCAUAGUAACCGAACGGAUCGCAUUAUGGCCUUUUGGUCGGCGAUGGAUCAUUCAAGUUUCUGACCUAUCAGCUUUCGACGGUACUGUAUUGGACUACCGUGGCAGUGACGGGUAACGGGGAAUUAGGGUUCGAUUCCGGAGAGGGAGCCUGAGAAACGGCUACCACAUCUAAGGAAGGCAGCAGGCGCGCAAAUUACCCAAUCCUGACUCAGGGAGGUAGUGACAAGAAAUAACAACACUGGAAAUUAUAUUUCUAGUGAUUGGAAUGAUGGGAAUCCAAACCCCUUUCAGAGUAACAAUUGGAGGGCAAGUCUGGUGCCAGCAGCCGCGGUAAUUCCAGCUCCAAUAGCGUAUAUUAAAGUUGUUGCAGUUAAAAAGCUCGUAGUUGGAUAUCUGCUGGAAGCAGCCAGUCCGCCCUUUGUGGGUGUGCACUUGGUGAAUUCUGGCAUCCUCCUGAUUGGUGUUAUCAUCACUUCAUUGUGUUGAUGGCAGCUGUCAGGACCGUUACUUUGAGAAAAUUAGAGUGUUUCAAGCAGGCUUGUUGCCUUGAAUACUGCAGCAUGGAAUAACAAGAUAGGAUUUCGGUUCUAUUUUGUUGGUUUCUAGGACUGAAGUAAUGAUUAAUAGGGACAGUUGGGGGCAUUCGUAUUUAACUGUCAGAGGUGAAAUUCUUAGAUUUGUUAAAGACGAACUACUGCGAA
RNAcentral lists this ribosomal RNA (807 nucleotides) under Sarcocystis sp. RNAcentral's name for it is "SSU rRNA". It matches the Rfam family "Eukaryotic small subunit ribosomal RNA", at positions 147 to 949 of the family's 1831-position model. The record is from RNAcentral. Lineage: Eukaryota; Apicomplexa; Conoidasida; Eucoccidiorida; Sarcocystidae.